RNAcentral lists this ribosomal RNA (523 nucleotides) under Ornithodoros moubata. Its description in RNAcentral is "12S ribosomal RNA". Lineage: Eukaryota; Metazoa; Arthropoda; Arachnida; Ixodida; Argasidae. The record is from RNAcentral.
GUAUUGUUGUAAUAAUAAUAAAAUUUUAUGUUAAGUUUUUGCAUGUAGGUGAAAUUAAUGUUUAAGUUUAUAGGUUUGUUUUAAAUAAAUUUUGGUUUAAAUUAGGAUUAGAUACCCUAUUAUUCAAGAACUUUAAGUUGGUAGUAUUUUUUAAUUUUUGAAAUCUAAAGAUUAUGGCGGUAUUUUAAGCUAUUUAGAGGAAUUUAUUCUUUAAUGGAUAAGGCUCAGGGAUCUUACUUGGAUUAGUUAAGCAGUUUGUAUAUCGCUAUCAUGGAAUAAUGUUGAUUAAUUAAUAAUUGGAAUUAUAUUUUGUAAGAAUGUUAGGUCAAAAUGCAGCAAAAAUUUAAGGUUGAAAUAAAUUACUUUUAUUUAUAUAUGAGUUUUUGAAAAUAGGGUUUAGGAUUUAAAAGUAAAUUUAAAUUAUAAUGUUUAGUUGAAUUUAGCUCUAAAAUAUGCACAUAUCGCCCGUCACUCUCAGAGAUGAGAUAAGUCGUAACAAAGUAAAAGUACCGGAAGGUGUUUU